CUCUUUAGCUUGGCAUUUGAAUCGGCUUUGCUGUUGCGAAGUAGAGUGGCGGCUUCGGCUGCCGAGGGUCGAUCCAUUUGGGAAAUGUUGUGUACUUCGGUAUGCAUCUCAAUUGGACCUGAUAUCAGGCAAGAUUACCCGCUGAACUUAAGCAUAUUAAUAAGCGGAGGAAAAGAAACUAACAAGGAUUCCCCUAGUAACGGCGAGUGAAGCGGGAAGAGCUCAAGCUUAAAAUCUCCGUGCAAGUUUUGCGCGGCGAAUUGUAGUCUAUAGAGGCGUGAUCAGUGUGGGCGCUUGGGGCAAGUUCCUUGGAAGAGGACAGCAUGGAGGGUGAUACUCCCGUUCAUCCCUGAGUUGCUCGUGCGUACGAUCCGUUUUCUUUGAGUCGCGUUGUUUGGGAAUGCAGCGCAAAGUAGGUGGUAAAUUCCAUCUAAAGCUAAAUAUUGGUGCGAGACCGAUAGCGAACAAGUACCGUGAGGGAAAGAUGAAAAGAACUUUGAAAAGAGAGUUAAAGAGUACCUGAAACUGCUGAAAGGGAACCGAAUCGUUUCCAGUGUCUAUAAUCCGUGGUAUAUUUCAUUGGCGAGUGUGUGCGUGCGUGUGCUGUGGCAGCGGCUUUUUUGGCUGCGCUCGGCGUGUGUGCUGUGUGUGCUUGCUGGUGCCCUGUGCUGCGGUGGGACGUCAAGGUCAGUUCGUAUGCUGCGGGAAAUGGCCGCCGAGGAGGUAGGGCUUACGCUUGCGUUUGUCUGUUAUAUCUUGGUGGACGAGUAGUCGCGGUUGGGACUGAGGUGCCUACAACGUGUUUUUGAGUGGGCCUGUGUCUCUGUGUGCGCCGUGUGCGGAUAGCUUGCUAUGCGUGUGUGGUUGUGUGUGGAUUGAUGUGGGUUUUAACUUGUUGCCGUUCGGGACGUUGACGAAAUGGAGCGAUUUGACCCGUCUUGAAACACGGACCAAGGAGUCUAACAUGUGUGCAAGUGUUAGGGUGUGGAAACCCCAGCGCGAAAUGAAAGUGAAGGGCAGCGUAAGUUGUCUGAGGUAGGAAAUGCUGCGG
Molecule: ribosomal RNA, 1051 nt
Organism: Phytophthora infestans T30-4
Lineage: Eukaryota; Oomycota; Peronosporomycetes; Peronosporales; Peronosporaceae
Source: RefSeq, a predicted model, not a curated record